RNAcentral lists this non-coding RNA (64 nucleotides) under Isoptericola variabilis. Lineage: Bacteria; Bacillati; Actinomycetota; Actinomycetes; Micrococcales; Promicromonosporaceae. The record is from RNAcentral. RNAcentral also lists the same sequence under 1 other name.
GCAGAGCCCGUGGGGGCUCCCGGACGAGGGGUGCCGUACCCGGUGUGCGACAAGACGGCACCGA